GCCUACAGCCACACCAGACUGAAUGCACCCGAUCCCGUCCAAUCUUGGAAGCUAAGCAGUCCCAGGCCCAGCUAGAACCUGGAUGGGAGACCACCUGGGAAUCCCGGGUGCCGUAUGCU
RNAcentral lists this ribosomal RNA (119 nucleotides) under Sphenodon punctatus (tuatara). Lineage: Eukaryota; Metazoa; Chordata; Lepidosauria; Sphenodontia; Sphenodontidae. The record is from RNAcentral.